RNAcentral lists this ribosomal RNA (414 nucleotides) under uncultured bacterium. RNAcentral describes it as "bacterial SSU rRNA". It matches the Rfam family "Bacterial small subunit ribosomal RNA", at positions 917 to 1333 of the family's 1533-position model. The record is from RNAcentral.
GGGCCCGCACAAGCGGUGGAGCAUGUGGUUUAAUUCGAUGAUACGCGAGGAACCUUACCAGGGCUUAAAUGUAGAACGACCGAUUUGGAAACAAGUCUUCUCUUUGAGCGGUCUACAAGGUGCUGCAUGGUUGUCGUCAGCUCGUGCCGUGAGGUGUCGGGUUAAGUCCCUUAACGAGCGCAACCCCUAUCUCUAGUUGCCAGCGGAUAAUGCCGGGGACUCUAGAGAAACUGCCCGUGCAAACGGUGAGGAAGGUGGGGAUGACGUCAAAUCAUCACGGCCCUUACGUCCUGGGCUACACACGUGCUACAAUGGUCGGUACAGAGGGCAGCUACCACGUGAGUGGAUGCAAAUCUCGAAAGCCGAUCUCAGUUCGGAUUGAAGUCUGCAACUCGCCUACAUGAAGGUGGAAUC